This 153-nucleotide precursor RNA is filed under the name Phyllostachys edulis (moso bamboo). Its description in RNAcentral is "partial precursor microRNA MIR319a". It matches the Rfam family "MIR159 microRNA precursor family", at positions 20 to 175 of the family's 196-position model. Lineage: Eukaryota; Viridiplantae; Streptophyta; Magnoliopsida; Poales; Poaceae. The record is from RNAcentral.
CUUCAGUCCACUCUCAGAUGGCUGUAGGGUUUUAUUAGCUGCCGACUCAUCCAUUCACCUACCAAGAAUCAUGGAGGAAUGUAUGUCUUGGUAGCCGACUGGAUGGUGCGGGAGCUAAAAUCUAGCUCUGCGUUGUUUGUGGUUGGACUGAAG